RNAcentral lists this small nucleolar RNA (81 nucleotides) under Buceros rhinoceros silvestris. RNAcentral's name for it is "Small nucleolar RNA SNORA57". The record is from Rfam by way of RNAcentral. Lineage: Eukaryota; Metazoa; Chordata; Aves; Bucerotiformes; Bucerotidae.
ACUCCUGUUCUUGGCAGGCCCCGGCCGCCCUGUGCCCGGGUCUGUGAUGUCCGGAGGUAGAGCAGCGACUCUUUCACAGGC